GACGAACGCUGGCGGCGUGCUUAACACAUGCAAGUCGAACGGACAGGCCCUGCUCUUGUGGGGUGCACGUGAGGCGAACGGGUGAGUAAAACGCGUGUAAACUGCCCUUGUCUUUGGGAUAACUUCAGGAAACUGGGGAUCAUACCCGAUAGGAUCUCUUGCUGCAUGGUGGUGGUUGGAAAGUUUCGGCGGUUGUGGAUGGACUCGCGGCUUACCAGCUUGAUGGUGGGGUAGUGGCUUACCAAGGCUUUGAAGGGUAGCGGGCCUGAGAGGGUGACCGGCCACAUUGGGACUGAGAUACGGCCGAGACUGCUACGGGACGCAGCAGUGGGGAAGAUUGCAGAAGGGGCGGAAGCUUGAUGCAGCAACGCCGCGUGCGGGAAGACGGCCUUCGGGUUGUAAACCGCAUGCGCAAGUGACGAUGCGUGAGUGACGGUAAUGUGUAAAGAAGCACCGGCUAACUUCGUG
This 468-nucleotide ribosomal RNA is filed under the name uncultured bacterium. RNAcentral describes it as "partial 16S ribosomal RNA". It matches the Rfam family "Bacterial small subunit ribosomal RNA", at positions 28 to 507 of the family's 1533-position model. The record is from RNAcentral.